Long non-coding RNA from Rhododendron vialii, 1690 nucleotides. RefSeq lists it as uncharacterized. The record is from RefSeq and is a predicted model, not a curated record. Lineage: Eukaryota; Viridiplantae; Streptophyta; Magnoliopsida; Ericales; Ericaceae. The transcript is spliced from 3 exons.
UUUCCACCUUCCACACGAACGGCCAUCCGAGACCAGAUCGCGUCUCUCCUCUGCUCUCUCUCUAUCUCUCUCCCUCCGAAACUCUAGACCUCUCAUCAUUCGGUGUUCCCGCGGGAUUCGUGAUGAUUUUGGUCCAUCGAUUUCUGCUGGCUUCUUUAUUACGCUGCUAGCGGGUACUGGAUCUCCGGGUAUUGUGGGCUGAAGGUCGAUCUCUGCGUGUUUCGUCGUCGUCGACAAGGAUUUGGACUAUGACGAUUUGGCUUCGGGACUAAAGGAAGCUCUUCAAAAUGACAAAUCUGUGUUUCAUGCUGAUUGUCUUCAGAAGUACACUGGGCAUCGUGUUGUGUCAAUGAGGAAAGCUUUAGAAGGUGCGAUACGUCUCAAUGUUGAUUUAGUUGAGGUGAACUUUGCCAUUCUAAUAUCAAUUUAAAUAAGCUAGAAGUUGUUAGCACUCUAUUUGUUUGGAUAAAGCCAAAAAUAGCAAAAGCUACAAGUCAUCUGGCACAAACUUUUCCAGUUUCCUAUUUGAAAUAUUCUCAGGCAUAGUUUCUUUCGGUGGCGUGCUAUCAAGAUUAGACUUCACAGUUGGGCUAUGGUUAAGGACUGGGGUACCAUGCCUCCAACGCUCUAAAAUUAUUUCCCACCUUUUACUUGCCCUUCUUUGUGGGCAAUGUACAGUUUCCAAGAACUUUUGCGUUUUGAAACGUCAACAACAUUGGCAUUACGAGAUUUUGAGAGGUUUUGUUGCAAAUGAUUUCACAGUAUCAGGAGGAAGCUUGCUUUGCUACCAUGGUCAAGUGCAUAUAGGAGAAUAGAGCUCUAAAGUUAUCAGAGGACUGCAUGCACAACCUAAUUUGCUUGUGGACUAAAUUGUUCAUGAUGUUAGGAGUCCUAUUUGUUUGGAACAACCACCUACCGCCCUUUCGUUGUAAUGGUUAUCUUGCAUGAUAAGAAAAGUAAAAAUGCAAUAAUUCGUUUUCUCACUCUAAUACUUUUAGUUACUUAUUAUGGUAGCAAGAAUUUUUUCAGCGUAUGGUUUCCUUAGUUAUAUUGAUCUCGUCUUGUGCAGGUUGAAAUACUAAACCACCUGUUUGCAAGCUCACAGACUACCAUAAGGAGAAGUGCAAACAACAAAUAAAGGAAAAAGACCGUGCUAAAAGCAAGGUAAUGGGUUUUUACUCUUGAUACAGUCUAUGCAAUUGAUCAAGUGGAUUGGCUGAUAGAAGCAAUAUUGUAUUUUCAAUUUGAUGUAUCUUCAUUUUGGUUUUUAGCUAAUCGCCAUCAGUAUUGCUUUAGCGACUCAUUAUCAACUUGUUUGUUAUGUCUAUCUCUUAGUGCAGUCUGAAGUGACUUUACAGAAAGGAGAUUGCAAAGAAGUUUGUUUUCUGUUAAAACUGUAAGAUCUUUAUCUGAUAUUUUGUACUUGGUUUUACGUUCCCGUGUUUGUACUUCCUGAAGCUCCUAAUACAGAGAGCUAAUAUUAAUAUCAUGGAUGCCAUCGAUUUAUUUUUUAAAAGCAAGAGAGCAAUAAAAUUCUCCCAACACUUUCCAACGUCAUUGAUUAAGCUUUGUGUAAAUACUGUACAGGAAAUUGUAGUAGAUUGUAGAUGCCCCUUUCACCUAAUAUAUCAUGGGAUACAGGAUAGUCCAAUGGAACCAUCCCAUGAGUUGAUAGGUCGUCCGAAUAAUU